Molecule: ribosomal RNA, 244 nt
Filed under: uncultured bacterium
Lineage: Bacteria
Description: partial 16S ribosomal RNA
Rfam family: Bacterial small subunit ribosomal RNA
Source: RNAcentral
GCGAGGUGGAGCAAAUCUCAAAAAGACCGUCCCAGUUCGGAUCGCAGGCUGCAACCCGCCUGCGUGAAGUUGGAAUCGCUAGUAAUCGCGGAUCAGCAUGCCGCGGUGAAUACGUUCCCGGGCCUUGUACACACCGCCCGUCACACCAUGAGAGUCGGGAACACCCGAAGUCCGUAGCCUAACCGCAAGGAGGGCGCGGCCGAAGGUAGGAUUGGCGACUGGGGUGAAGUCGUAACAAGGUAGC